RNAcentral lists this ribosomal RNA (58 nucleotides) under uncultured bacterium. RNAcentral describes it as "partial 16S ribosomal RNA". The record is from RNAcentral.
UAACCCCUACGGGUGGGAAGGCCACGCCGUUCGGAAGGUAGGGUCGAUGAUUGGGGUG